GGCGCUGGAAAGGUGCCGCGGACGGACUGGCGGGCGGGCGGACGCCGGUGACGACAGCCGCUCGGCGAGGGGCGCGCGGCGCUGGCCUUAUAUGGUCAAGCGCUGCGACGAGGGGCGUCGACCAGCCGGCCCCGCCCGAGGCCCGCCCGAUUCUGGGGGCCCUACCCGACAGGGUCCCACCCGGGCUCAACUUUGGGAAGUCCGGGCUUUCCUUCUCCGGACCUGGCUGGGGCGCUGCCUUGCCUCUGUGGGCGCGUUUAUCCUGCACCCCACCGCCCGCAGGCCCUCACUAGGGGUGGGAGAGCAAACUGGAAAGGACCCCUCCGUGGCACAGACAGCCGCAGAUCUGGAGGACGAGCCACUCACUAACGCGGGAAGGACGUCUCUGGCCCCAGGCGGAGCCCUGGACCUGGCUGAACAUUGGCCUCCUGCACAAGUGUUUGGUUAACUGCGCUGCUGUUGCCCGGCUUUACCCAUUGCAGGAAGGCCAUCCAUCAGGAGGCACCUCUGGUCACCUUACCUCCUGUGUUUCCCUUCAAGCGCUCAUGGCAGCCCAGAUCCUUAAAAUCCCAGCUCUAUCCGCUGCUCCUCUGCUAUUCCCACGCAUUCCUGGGUCCUGACUGUCCUUGCUCGUUGCACGGGCCACUGGAUUGAACACAAGACUGUGCUCCUGCAAGGCAGGCGCUUAUGCCGCUGAGCUAAAUCCCCAGCCCCUGAUUAACCUGUUUGAAAUUCAAUUUCUUCAUCUGCAAAAUAAGGAUAGAAUAAUCCACACCUUAUGCUUUUUGUGAAAAAUCUAAUGAGUUAAUAUUUGUGAAAUGUUUAAGACAAUGUUUAGUAGGGCUGGGGAUUUAGCUCAGCGGCACAAGUGCCUGCUUGGCAAGUGCAAGGUUGUGAGUUCAAUCCUCACUAACAAAAAAAAAAAAAAAAAAGAAAGAAGAAAAGGAAAGGAAAAGGAAAGAGAGAAUAGACAGUGCUUGGUACAUAGAGACCAUGCACAUGCUGUGGAUUGCAGGAGGUGUGGACUCUUCCUCUCCAGCUGGGCAUUCCUGAUGCCUGGCAUACAGGAGGCGCUGAAUUGGUGUCUGCGAGUGAGGCAGAGGAGAGGAGGUCCUCAGGGCUUCAUGGCAACUAGGAGAGACAGAGGGUAGAUGCUUCUGAGACUUCAGGAGGUGAAGCAGUCACUUCCAGUGACAGAACAAAUGGAGAGUCGGCACUGGGGUGACUAUUAUGUGCUUUCUUUAGCACUGAAUGCCCCAUGCCCCAGGCAUCUCUUUAGUCUUAAGCCAACUGGGGCGAUGGCAAACUCCAGACCAAGUUCUAACCCCUGGGCCCUCAGGCUUGUCCUACUCUCUGCUUCCCUGGGCCACCCCUAUUAAAGACACAAACUCUCCUGCAUGAAGGCCUGGGAGACUUAGAAGACUCCUCAAAACACUCACAGCACAAAGGGGUGGGACUGGAUCUGGGUGUGGUAGGGCAAACCUGCAAUCCCAACCGGGGCUGGAGAAGCUGAGGCAGGAGGAUAUCAAAACACUGUCACAAAUAAAUGGGCAGAAUGAGGGUAGCAGGGGUUGCAAACCUGGGGCAGGAAGGCCAUUUACCCCAAUGAAGACCCACAGGGCACUUCUUUGCCAGGCCCUCUGCCCAGCACUGGGACAUCCCCUCCCCCUGCCAGUCCAGUGGGGCACAGAUGCAUGGACAUGGUGCCUCUGAGGCUGAUUCAUGGAUCACUGGAGGAGGGAGGGAAGAGGGAGGGGUUAGCUGGGUUUCAGAGGAACCCACUCCUGACCUGGCCACUCACCAGCAGGCCAGCAGUCUGUCACCUCCCCUUGCGGGCCCCGGAUGUCUUCUGUCCUUCACUAAGUGGAGUAGGAGCUGCUCUUGGAGCCCUUCCUGACCCUGAGGUUUGUGACCCAAGCAGCAGAGUUCUGGGAAAUGCAGCCUGUCAAGAGGGAAUAAAGGCUGAGCUGGCCUGGGUGGGUGAGGGCAGCCAGAUGGCCUGGCCCCACUGCACAACAGUCUCAUCCUCUCAGGAUGGCCCAGUGGAGCCACCCAGCUGCACAUCCUCCUGGGCCCCUGUCCAGGGAGUUGGCCUCUCCCUGUUACCCACAGCUCCCAGGGAGCAGGGCCAGACAUGGAGGCCACCUUCCUUCCCCUUGGCUGUGGAGGAGGUCCGAGGCUGGCCGGCUGAGGCUCAAGCAGUCAAGACCAAGGACUGAGCAGACGCUGUGGUCCCUGGGCAGCCUGUCCCACACCCGUCUCUCCCCUUGCUCGCUAGAUGGGGCCUCUGUUUCCCAGUCCGGGUCCAGCCUUGGUGGCUUCCUUCCUUUCCCACCUCAGCAUCACAGGAUCUUGGAAGAUGGGAACUGAUCUGUUGGAAGUGAAGUGGAAACCACGAAUACAUUGCAGGACAGCAGGACCCAGUGGCUGCCACACGCGUCCUGCAGAGAGGGAGCAGGGCUGGGGCAGAGGACUGGUGAGAACAGAGGUGCCGGGUUGGCCCAGAGGAGGUAGAGAGGUGGGUGAGGAAGGUGUUCAGGGCAGAUGCAGGGGCCAGAGUCAGUGACCCCAGGUGAAGAGGCAAGUCCUCCCAUCUCACCCCAGUCCCCAGGCCUGAUCUGGGCCUUCAUGUGGACCUGGCUGCAAAGGACACAAGAAUUCAGGGCCCAGAACUUUCUUUUUUCCUUUCUUUCUUUUUUUUUUUUCUUUCUUUUUUUGUAGUACCAGGAUUUGAACCCAGGGCUUCACACUGAGCUACCUUCCCAGCCCUUUUGAAAAAGUUUUCUUUUCUUUUGCGACAGGGUCUCAGUAAGUUGGGGAAUUGCCACUGGGCUUGAAGUUUCAUCUCAAUUACAGGCCAGGCUGGGGCCACCAUGUUGAGCUGGGGACCUGGAACUUUCUAAGGCAAAGGUGUAUGGGACAAAGAGGUGACUGGGUAUGGGAGACAGCCAGGACGUUCCUGCAGCUCAGCCUCCCUGCCCCCAAAGUAAACUGGCAGGUGGGAGGUGCAGGUGGAGCUCUGCAGGCUUCAGGCUGGGGACACUGCUUCCCUGCCCUCAGGACAAUAACAGGCUCCCUUUGCCCUGGAAAUCCCACCUCUGUAAAGUCUUAAGUGAAGAGAGCUCUAUGCCCAAACACAGUUUGCUCCUACAUUUACACAGGGAAAGUAAUUAAUGGAAAAACACCUAAAUGUCCCACACUGGGGACAAGGGUAACAAUGUGCCCCUGGCAGAGAGACCUCUGGGUCUGAGAAGUGCAGUGGUCCAGGUUUAGUCCUGCCCCGCCCCUUCCUAGCUGUGUCCCCUGGACCAUAAGUAACAGCUAAGUUAGGUAGGAGUCUAUGCAGGCAGACGGGGCUGGGUGCUUGGAGGAGUCGGGGCAGAGAACAAGAACACAUCAGGACUGGCUGGAGGUGCAUCCCUUGAAGGCCACGCUUCAAGAUAAAGAUGGAAUGACCAGGCCUACAUGCCUCCCCAAGGGGUAAACAAUACAUUAAAGAUGAUACUGUAUUUGCUGUCUGAUACAA
Molecule: long non-coding RNA, 3526 nt
Organism: Cavia porcellus (domestic guinea pig)
Lineage: Eukaryota; Metazoa; Chordata; Mammalia; Rodentia; Caviidae
Exons: 2
Source: RefSeq, a predicted model, not a curated record